CGCCCGGGCUUCGGCCUGGUUAUUCAUAACCCUUUGUUGUCCGACUCUUUUGCCUCCGGGGCGACCCUGCCUUCGGGCGGGGGCUCCGGGUGGACACUUCAAACUCUUGCGUAACUUUGCAGUCUGAGUAAACUUAAUUAAUAAAUUAAAACUUUUAACAACGGAUCUCUUGGUUCUGGCAUCGAUGAAGAACGCAGCGAAAUGCGAUAAGUAAUGUGAAUUGCAGAAUUCAGUGAAUCAUCGAAUCUUUGAACGCACAUUGCGCCCCCUGGUAUUCCGGGGGGCAUGCCUGUUCGAGCGUCAUUUCACCACUCAAGCCUCGCUUGGUAUUGGGCAACGCGGUCCGCCGCGUGCCUCAAAUCGUCCGGCUGGGUCUUCUGUCCCCUAAGCGUUGUGGAAACUAUUCGCUAAAGGGUGUUCGGGAGGCUACGCCGUAAAACAACCCCAUUUCUAAGGUUGACCUCGGAUCAGGUAGGGAUACCCGCUGAACUUAAGCAUAU
RNAcentral lists this ribosomal RNA (500 nucleotides) under Cladosporium herbarum. RNAcentral's name for it is "eukaryotic LSU rRNA". The stretch from base 150 to 303 matches the Rfam family "5.8S ribosomal RNA". The record is from RNAcentral. Lineage: Eukaryota; Fungi; Ascomycota; Dothideomycetes; Cladosporiales; Cladosporiaceae.